This 253-nucleotide ribosomal RNA is filed under the name uncultured bacterium. RNAcentral describes it as "partial 16S ribosomal RNA". It matches the Rfam family "Bacterial small subunit ribosomal RNA", at positions 524 to 776 of the family's 1533-position model. The record is from RNAcentral.
UACGGAGGGUGCAAGCGUUAUCCGGAUUCACUGGGUUUAAAGGGUGCGUAGGCGGGCAGGUAAGUCCGUGGUGAAAUCUCCGAGCUUAACUCGGAAACUGCCAUGGAUACUAUUUGUCUUGAAUGUUGUGGAGGUGAGCGGAAUAUGUCAUGUAGCGGUGAAAUGCUUAGAUAUGACAUAGAACACCAAUUGCGAAGGCAGCUCACUACACAAAUAUUGACGCUGAGGCACGAAAGCGUGGGGAUCAAACAGG